UGCGCCUUAUGCAUGCAAGUCGAGCGAAGCUUUUCAGUAGUUUACUACAGAAAAUGACUGAGCGGCGAACGGGUGAGUAACGCGUGAGCAAUCUACCUUAGUUACAGGGAUAGCCCGAGGAAACUCGGAUUAAUACCUGAUAUUCUUUAUAUUUCGCAUGAAAUUAAAAGGAAAGGUCAGCCGAACUAAGAUGAGCUCGCGUUCUAUCAGCUAGUUGGUGAGGUAAAAGCUCACCAAGGCUACGACGGAUAGCUGGUCUGAGAGGACGAUCAGCCACACUGGGAGUGAGACACGGCCCAGACUCCUACGGGAGGCUGCAGCAGGGAAUAUUGCGCAAUGAGCGAAAGCUUGACGCAGCGACACCGCGUGUGGGAUGACGGAUCUAGGUUUGUAAACCACUUUCAGGAGGGAAGAAAAUGACUGUACCU
This 428-nucleotide ribosomal RNA is filed under the name uncultured bacterium. RNAcentral's name for it is "bacterial SSU rRNA". It matches the Rfam family "Bacterial small subunit ribosomal RNA", at positions 43 to 480 of the family's 1533-position model. The record is from RNAcentral.